CGAACGCUGGCGGCAGGCUUAACACAUCCAAGUCGAGCGGACCUUUCGGGGUCAGCGGCGGACGGGUGAGUAACGCGUGGGAACGUGCCUUCCGGUUCGGAAUAACCCUGGGAAACUAGGGCUAAUACCGGAUACGCCCUUAUGGGGAAAGGUUUACUGCCGGAAGAUCGGCCCGCGUCUGAUUAGCUAGUUGGUGGGGUAACGGCCUACCAAGGCGACGAUCAGUAGCUGGUCUGAGAGGAUGAUCAGCCACACUGGGACUGAGACACGGCCCAGACUCCUACGGGAGGCAGCAGUGGGGAAUAUUGGACAAUGGGCGCAAGCCUGAUCCAGCCAUGCCGCGUGAGUGAUGAAGGCCUUAGGGUUGUAAAGCUCUUUUAUCCGGGACGAUAAUGACGGUACCGGAGGAAUAAGCCCCGGCUAACUUCGU
RNAcentral lists this ribosomal RNA (430 nucleotides) under uncultured bacterium. Its description in RNAcentral is "partial 16S ribosomal RNA". It matches the Rfam family "Bacterial small subunit ribosomal RNA", at positions 30 to 506 of the family's 1533-position model. The record is from RNAcentral.